This 93-nucleotide non-coding RNA is filed under the name Burkholderia sp. GAS332. The record is from RNAcentral. Lineage: Bacteria; Pseudomonadati; Pseudomonadota; Betaproteobacteria; Burkholderiales; Burkholderiaceae.
UUCAAUGGGCGGGUCGUAGGGGGGGAGCCGCAAGGCUCGCCGGUUUUGGUGAAAUCCCGGUCUGCUAACCCUUCUACGUGCCCGCUCACCCCU